RNAcentral lists this long non-coding RNA (1217 nucleotides) under Anser cygnoides (Swan goose). RNAcentral describes it as "lncRNA (ENSACDG00005009438.1)". The record is from RNAcentral. Lineage: Eukaryota; Metazoa; Chordata; Aves; Anseriformes; Anatidae.
AUGUAGUGAUGUGCAGGAUAGAAGUUAACACAGGAAGAUUUUCUCAUUUAACUGAUUGGGUCUAACUGGGGACAGUUCAAGGCAGUGUCACAGCUGGAGGUCUGGUGGUGGGGUUAGACCCCUGGUGAAAGCGUAGAGUUACGAUGUCAUGGUCCGUCUGCUCCUUUGUGACACGCAAGGGGGGAAUCAGGACUUGAUGGCAGAACAGAUUUUGUCCUUUGUUAGCUGCUUUGGCACAAAAGGCAAAAUGUAUGCAUGGGCUAUUAUGCACAGACCUCCUGGUGAGUUUGCUCGGAUCUGUCAGGAUAUCCUUUUGUACUAGUGUCAACAGGAGUAAUUCUAACUGUCAGUGGAGCUGAGGAGGUGAAAUCGGAAUUAUGACUGAUAUAUCUUGAUUUUCUGGCAUGAUGAAGGAAAAAGAACCUAUAAAAUGUUUGGGGAACUUCAAAUCCUGUGGUAUUCUAACUACUUUUCUAUUUCCUUCCUUUCUUUUCUUUAUUUUUUAGUUUAAUGAAAAACUGCUUUUUUUCCAUUCUCAAGUUUAUAAGGCUUCUUCCACUCUUCCACACCUAGUAAAACUGUUUUAUAGUAAUCGUUCACUUUUCAAAGUAUUAUAUGACUGAAAACCUCUCAUUCUGAUCUGCUGUCAUGUUUUUGUUUUGUUUUUCAUCACCAUCACAUAGGUCAGGGUGCAGCCACGAGGGUGGGAAGGACCUAGGAAGGCUGUUUCCCUCUCAGAUGAAGCAGCCUGGGUGCCCCAAUGAGCAAGUACUGAUGUACUAAACUCGGGCAGGCUCAGUACCAUACCCACGUCCCUGGGGAGCCUGUCCCAGUGCCCGACCACCUCCGGGUGCAGAACCUUUCCCUAACCCCCAGCCUGACCCUCCCCUGUCCCAGCUCCAUGCCGUUCCCUCGGGUCCUGUCGCUGUCCCCAGAGAGCAGAGCUCAGCGCCUGCCUCUCCGCUCCCCUCGUGAGGGAGCUGCAGGCCGGCAGGAGGCCUCCCCUCGGCCUGCUCUGCUCGGGGCUGAACAAACCAAGGGACCUCAGCCUCUCCUUAUGCGUCUUCCCUUCUAGAGCCCUCAUCUUUGUAGCCCUCCUUUGGACACUCUCUAAUAGUUUUAUGUUCUUCUUAUACUGUAGUGCCCAGAACUGCACAUAGCACUGGAGGUGAGGCCACACCAGUGCACAGCAGAGCAGGGCAAUCCCUUCCCUUGAC